UACGUAGGGUGCUAGCGUUGUUCGGAAUCAUUGGGCGUAAAGCGCGUGUAGGUGGUUAAUAAAGUUGGGUGUGAAAUCCCUCGGCUCAACCGAGGAAGUGCACUCAAAACUAAUUAGCUUGAGAGUGGUAGAGGAAGGUGGAAUUCCUAGUGUAGAGGUGAAAUUCGUAGAUAUUAGGAGGAAUACCGGAGGCGAAGGCGGCCUUCUGGACCAUUUCUGACACUGAGACGCGAAAGCGUGGGUAGCAAACAGGAUUAGAUACCCUGGUAGUCCACGCCGUAAACGAUGGGUACUAGAUGUUGCGGGAAUUGACCCCUGCAGUGUCGCAGCUAACGCAUUAAGUACCCCGCCUGGGAAGUACGGUCGCAAGAUUAAA
RNAcentral lists this ribosomal RNA (376 nucleotides) under uncultured bacterium. RNAcentral describes it as "bacterial SSU rRNA". It matches the Rfam family "Bacterial small subunit ribosomal RNA", at positions 524 to 898 of the family's 1533-position model. The record is from RNAcentral.